Molecule: small nuclear RNA, 104 nt
Organism: Sorex fumeus (smoky shrew)
Lineage: Eukaryota; Metazoa; Chordata; Mammalia; Eulipotyphla; Soricidae
Source: RefSeq, a predicted model, not a curated record
GUACUCACUUUGGCAGCACAUACACUAAAAUUAGAAUGAUACAGAAAUUAGCAUGGCCCUUGUGCAGGAAUGGCAUGCAAAUUUGUGAAGCAUUUCAUAUUAAA